UGGGGAAUUUUGGACAAUGGGCGCAAGCCUGAUCCAGCAAUGCCGCGUGAGUGAAGAAGGCCUUCGGGUUGUAAAGCUCUUUUGUCAGGGAAGAAACGACGUCCUCUAAUACAGGGUGUUAAUGACGGUACCUGAAGCAUAAGCACCGGCUAACUACGUGCCAGCAGCCGCGGUAAUACGAAGGGUGCAAGCGUUAAUCGGAAUUACUGGGCGUAAAGCGUGCGUAGGCGGUUUUUUAAGUCUGCUGUGAAAUCCCCGGGCUCAACCUGGGAAUGGCAGUGGAUACUGGAAAGCUAGAGUGUGUCAGAGGAUGGUGGAAUUCCCGGUGUAGCGGUGAAAUGCGUAGAGAUCGGGAGGAACAUCAGUGGCGAAGGCGGCCAUCUGGGACAACACUGACGCUGAGGCACGAAAGCGUGGGGAGCAAAC
RNAcentral lists this ribosomal RNA (426 nucleotides) under uncultured bacterium. Its description in RNAcentral is "bacterial SSU rRNA". It matches the Rfam family "Bacterial small subunit ribosomal RNA", at positions 355 to 773 of the family's 1533-position model. The record is from RNAcentral.